Molecule: long non-coding RNA, 1417 nt
Filed under: Sus scrofa (pig)
Lineage: Eukaryota; Metazoa; Chordata; Mammalia; Artiodactyla; Suidae
Description: lncRNA (ENSSSCG00045025887.1)
Source: RNAcentral
AGGCCUGUGGCUACAGCUCUGAUUCAACCCCUAGCCUGGGAACCUCCAUAUGCCACAGGUGCGGCCCUAGAAAAGGCAAAAAGACAAUAUAUAUAUUUAUGAAAAAAAAUAUAUGAAAUACCUUGAAAUAUUGCAAGAAUUACCAAAAUGUGACACAGAGACACGAAAUGAGCAAACGCUGUCAGAAAAAUCAUAUCCAUAGACCUACAUGAUACUGGUUUCCCAUAAACCUUCGAUUUGUAAAAAACUUAGCAUCUGCAGAGCACAAUAAAAUGAGGUGUGCCCGCAUAAAUGUAAUCUGUAGAAAGAAUGACUCACUUAACAAAUAUUUUCUCUUGAAAUCCAGGGUCUUCAAAAUCAUUAUUUGGAAAACAAUGCCCGUUUACUCAACAACCACUCCUGAAGCUCCUACUGUGUGCCAGACAAUGACUGAAAUGACCAAAGAACUAGAAAAAAAUCCUUGCAUACCCACCUGCCAUAGUGUCCUAGAGCUGCCAUAACAAAGCACUGCACAUUGGGUGAUUACAGCAACAGAAAUUUAUUCUCUCCCAGUUCCAGAAGUUGGAAGUCAAGGUAUCAGUCGGGCCAGGCUCCCCCAGAGGCUGCAGGGGAGAAUCCUCCUUCACCACUUCCAGCUCCUGAAGGCUGCGGGCAAGGCUUGCAUUGCUCAACUGCUAUGCAGCUUCCCCCUUCCAGUCUCUGCCUUCAUCUUCACAUGGGCUUCUUCCUUCUGAGUGUAUCUCGGUGUAGUCUCUCCUCGUCUUAGAAGGACAGCAGUCACUGGACUUAGGGCGCACCAUACCCCUGUAUGAUAUCCUCUCAACAGUUACAUCUGCAAACACCCCAUUUCCAGUUAAGGUCACAUCCUGAGGUUCCUGGUGGAUGUGGAGUUUGGGGAGACAUUAUUCAACCCUGUACAAAGACUCUUGUUUUUUGUUUCUGUCUCUGUUUCUUUGUCUCUGUCAUUCUCUCUUCUUUGCAGGAUGAGUUAGCUUUGUAAAAAUUAAUUGGGACACUUUUAAAUUUUUUAUACCCUGAAAACAAUUCGAUCAUAUAGAAAUUCUCUCUUCCUUUAAGGUUUGACAGAAUUUGCCCAACGCCUCCCCCAAAUUGCCUAAGUUCACGUUUCAUCAAAGUCUUGCAGAGUUCUUUAUCAGCUGCUUCUGUGACGUUUCAUCUUGUUGAAUUUUUCUGCCUAUUCUUGAGUGGAUUAUAUUGUCUUAUUUUGGUUAAUAUUUUAUUAGCAUAAAUUUAAACACAGUGUGCUUUUAGCUUGAAUCCUCUUUCAUGUCUUUGUCUCUCAUCCCUUUUAUAUUUCUAGAGCUGUUUAUUUGCAUUUUUUUCUUUUUUCUUUUUUUUCCUCAUGCAAACUUGCCAGAGGUUUGUCUCAUUUAUAGGUCUUUUUUUUUUUUUUUUU